This is a long non-coding RNA of Triticum aestivum (bread wheat), 3729 nucleotides long. RefSeq lists it as uncharacterized. The transcript has 5 exons. NCBI's taxonomy places the organism in Eukaryota, Viridiplantae, Streptophyta, Magnoliopsida, Poales, Poaceae. The record is from RefSeq and is a predicted model, not a curated record.
CCCACCACGCACAAAACACCGCUCCUCUCGAUCCCCUGAUGCGAUCUUCCUGGAACCGUCGCCUUCACGGAUCCGCCGCCGCAACCAUCGCCUUGUUCCCGUGCGCCACCGUCGCACCCUCUCCCAGCGCCCGAGCAUCCCCAUCGCUCCCUCUCCCAGCGCCGCCUCCGCCGCCAUGGCCCCUCCCCUUGCGCCCCGAACUGCCUCGCGCACUCGUCGCCCGUUAUACCACAGAGGAGGCGAAGACAGCGGCAGCGCGCCGCCUACUUCGCCGGUCGCCGCCUCGGCUGCACUCGGCGGGCGCCACGCCGUCUCCUCUCCAUGGGAGUGGCAGAUGGAAAUAUAUCAACGAUGGGGUGUGGUUCGUUCCUGUCAGGGUUUUUUCUUUGACGCUGCUGCUCCUGGAGCACCAACUCAAAAUUUUCUCAUAUACUGGUGUUGCCCGAGCACGAGCACAAGGCGACAUUUUUGCUGGCCAUCUUGUUCAACACCUGCUGGGGAGGGGGAGGAGGCCGGCAACAGGAGAAGGCGCAUGCCAGCGAGGAGGGCGAGCAGAAGGGUGCGGUGGAGGACGAUCAGGGGGAGACGUGAGCGCUCAGGCCUAGGUUUGUGUUGUUCUCGACUUGAGUAUAUGGGGCUCGAAUUGUGAUGGAUAUGAGGUGAGGAAAGAAGGUUUGGUAUGCAACUCACAGUUCUCUCGGUAUGUUUUCGGUACAUGUUCGGAAUAUCUGCAACUAGGUGCAUAAAAGAUGGAUCUUCAAGACAUGCUAUCUUGUUUCGUAAGUACUGCUAUUUAAGGUUAGCCUUGCAGAACUAUCUUUUAAUGUUCCCAGUUUAUCCUAAAGUAUUUUAGCCUAAAUUUCCUGUCAUUUAGAUAGAUGUGGGUUAUGCUAAUCUGACUGGUGUUAUGGUAUUGUAGCUACUGCACAUGUCCCUCGAUUUCCUAGUUCCAUGUGUCAGGAUGCUAAUAUGGGUGUUACUAUAUUGCCUUCCAGUUUAUCCUAAAGUAUUUUAGCCUAAAUUUCUUGUCAUUUAGAUAGAUGUGGGUUAUGCUAAUCUGACUGGUGGGUUAUGCUAAUCUGACUGGUAAGUAUGGUAUUGUAGCUACUGUACAUGUCCCUCAAUUUCCCAGUUCCAUGUGUCAGGAUGCUAAUAUGGGUGUUACUAUAUUGCCUUCCAUUUUGUAAUAUGUUAUGUUUGCAAUUUCUCAAGGCCGCCGCCGCCGCCGUCUGUAGCAACGCAUAGGCCGCUUGCCCAGCUCCCUCAUUCCGAGCACGACACCACGCGUCGGAGCUUGUCGGGAGGCACGGAAGGACGAACAGAGUUCUACCGGUGAUCCGUGUUGUCGCUGACGGUGUCAUAGGAUCUGCGGUGCACGUGGACAAGGCGAUGGGGCUGCCAACCUACCUCCUGUUCACCACAGCGCGUGUGGAUUCUUGGGCUACCUCAACUUGGAUCAGCUUUUUCAAGAGGGGAUGCUUGCCAUUCAGAGGAUCUGAUGGAGAAGAUAAAGACAACUAAUACGCUGAAAAUGAUUUUACAUCCUGGUUCGAAAAGUAAAAGGGAAAUCUUCGAGUAAAGGUAUGUUCUACUGCAAAGGAACUUCCCGAGGGAUCCCAUUGAAAUUGAAAGUAUGUUUCUUUUUUUAUUCCUAGAUUUUGAGCAUCUUGAAGGUUCAUCACUUGAUUUUCACCACUACAUCAUGUUUUAUGUAACUCCACACCACCAGAGUCUGGUAAUGCAAUUCCACCUCCCUUUCUUUGUUCUGAUUCAAUGUUAAUCAUCCGACCGGAGUUGGUCAAUGCUAGAGGAUUUGGCUUGGUGGUGGCAUUGCAUAUAGCAGCUUGUGGAAUGGUAAUGUUGCUGCCGUAGCCUUGAUUGCUUUGUAGUUUCAUCCUAGGAAGCAUUUAGGCUGUUAUGAACCUGGAUGUUUCACUUUAGGUUGGUUAAUUAAACUUCUUGAUGUCAGUGACGUAUUGUUUUUCUUUAACCUGCUAGGAGUCUUGGGUACUGUCAUGGUGAUGAUGUCAAAUAACCUUCAUCGACAGGUACAAAUAGUUUAGGUUGUGUUUUGCAUUGUGUUAUCCCGUCUCUAUUUUUUUAUUCAUGUACCUUUGUAUAGUUGUAUCCCCUUUUAAACAGUAGAGAUUUAUUGGCCAAGAGAAAAUCUUGUUACAUUUGAGGCUAAUAUCUUGCUAAUUUCAGUUAUGUUAUUGUGAAACCAAGACCUUGGAAAAUACCGGUUAGUGAUCCUAACAAGUAUUUGUGUGCAGUAUACUAAGAUUGUUAUGUCUUGCUUUAAAUCUUCCUGUAUAUAAGAAAAUUUAAAGUAGCACCGGAACUUCUUAAACUAACCAGCCAACAAAUAUAUCAGCAUAUUCACGGUUAAGACAACUCACAAAUAGAAAUAUUUUGCUGGCAAUAUCUACCUAAUACGACUGAAGAUAAAUGUUCUUGAUGUGUGCCGCUUGGAUAAGAGAUUUGAUGAUGCUAAUUGAGAACUUUACCUGACCAAUAAUCCGCGACAUUGUGAUGGUUGCAUAGAUUAGAAAAUGAAUGGACAAUGUAUUUUUUUGCCAUCUUAAUGUUAAAUAAUUACCCUGUACCUUAGUACCUAUAGAUAAUAUUUUUGUAUAGCAAAGGUGAUGGCUAGAUCAUAAAAUUGGCGGAUUUGCAUGCCUGAUAUGAAAGUACAAUUCGUACUCAUAGUGAGAUUUUUUAUCGCUCAAUAUAUCAGAUGCUUCAUUCUUGGGUGUUCAUUGUAUAUCUUAUUACGAUGAAGACAUACUUCCCAUUGUGUUAUCCUGCCAAUGAAUGUAUUCAAUUUAUAGUGUAGUGGCUAAUUUCAUGAACUAAAUAGGUGUUAUAGAAUUUUUUUCUUUUCAUUUUAAUUGUGUAUAUGUAGUUCUGCACAACACGCCUUCUUGCUGAGUUAUAUCAACAGAAGCCAGUAUGCUAAAAUUAACAAAGCUCUUAUGCGACAUUUACUUAUGUGAUGUGGAUCAAUCUAAACAAGUUUUUUUGGUUAGUUUGUCUAUUUUUUCAGGGAUAAACUGCCUUAACCGAAGCAGCAUAUGUUGGAGAAUGUAGAUUCAGCUUUCGUUUCAGUAGCUUUGGAGGUAUCCUAUAUGACUAUGAGUGAUAUACUCUCCUGUCUCCUCCCUCCAUUUUACUCGAGUUAACCCCUGUACGCACAUCUCUACGUCUGCCUUCAGGUGCUUUUCCAUUUGCUACAUAUAGUGUAGUUUUAUGUAUUUUCAAGCUCUUACUGUACCAGACUAAGUGUGGUUAAGUAAAUCGCUUUUGCUCUCUCUUCGGUCUUUCUAUUCCGAUGUCUCAAAGGAACGGGGUGAUACGUGAUAUACGUAUACGGGUAAGGAAUGCUGGUUGUCUGUGAUUUUCAUGGUGGUGGAAAGGAAUGUGCGGAGAGACAAGCUGCAGGGACCAUAUGAUGCAGAAGGAACGGAGACGGGCCAUGCAAGAAAAUCCAUACCAAACGAACUCCAAACGUGAUGAGACUUUUUGACGAUUUUUGGAACAUAAGAGACCCCCGAAACUUCAUGGGAGGAUUAGAAGACCCAUGAGGAGGUGACAAGGCAACCCGACACGCCCAUGGGGGUGGCCACACAGGGAUACCUUAUGGGCCCCUCGUAACUCCAUUUUGCGUGAUUCCAACUCUGAAAAUUCUUAUAAAUAGGGAACCCCCAAAAAAUAAACCUAUAACUUCAA